GACGAACGCUGGCGGCGUGCUUAACACAUGCAAGUCGAGCGGUAAGGCCCUUUCGGGGGUACACGAGCGGCGAACGGGUGAGUAACAUGUGGGUGACCUGCCCUCAGCUCUGGGAUAAGCCUGGGAAACCGGGUCUAAUACUGGAUAUGACUCCAUGACGCAUGUUGUGGGGUGGAAAGCCUUGUGCGGCUGAGGAUGGGCCCGCGGCCUAUCAGCUUGUUGGUGGGGUGAUGGCCUACCAAGGCGACGACGGGUAGCCGGCCUGAGAGGGCGACCGGCCACACUGGGACUGAGACACGGCCCAGACUCCUACGGGAGGCAGCAGUGGGGAAUCUUGCGCAAUGGGCGAAAGCCUGACGCAGCGACGCCGCGUGAGGGAUGACGGCCUGGUGUAA
RNAcentral lists this ribosomal RNA (395 nucleotides) under uncultured bacterium. RNAcentral describes it as "bacterial SSU rRNA". It matches the Rfam family "Bacterial small subunit ribosomal RNA", at positions 28 to 428 of the family's 1533-position model. The record is from RNAcentral.